AGGUCCCGCCUGCCCUGUGACUAUUAGUUUAACGGCCGCGGUAUUUUGACCGUGCGAAGGUAGCGCAAUCACUUGUCUUUUAAAUGGAGACCCGUAUGAACGGCAUAACGAGGGCUUAACUGUCUCCUCUUUCAAGUCAAUGAAAUUGAUCUCCCCGUGCAGAAGCGGGGAUACAAACAUAAGACGAGAAGACCCUAUGGAGCUUUAGACACUAAGACAGCCCACGUUAAGCACCCUGAAUAAAGGACUAAACCAAGUGGGCCCUGCCCUAAUGUCUUUGGUUGGGGCGACCGCGGGGAAUUAAAGAACCCCCACGUGGAACGGGAACACUUUUCCUACAACUAAGAGCUACAGCUCCAGUAAACAGAAUUUCUGACCAGCAAGAUCCGGCAAUGCCGAUCAACGGACCGAGUUACCCUAGGGAUAACAGCGCAAUCCUCUUUUAGAGCCCAUAUCGACAAGGGGGUUUACGACCUCGAUGUUGGAUCAGGACAUCCUAAUGGUGCAGCCGCUAUUAAGGGUUCGUUUGUUCAACGAUUAAAGUCCUACGUGA
RNAcentral lists this ribosomal RNA (553 nucleotides) under Triglops pingelii (ribbed sculpin). Its description in RNAcentral is "partial 16S ribosomal RNA". It matches the Rfam family "Bacterial large subunit ribosomal RNA", at positions 1850 to 2603 of the family's 2925-position model. The record is from RNAcentral. Lineage: Eukaryota; Metazoa; Chordata; Actinopteri; Perciformes; Cottidae.